GAGGUUUGAGUCGGUCAGGAGUCUGGGGCUUCUCCGACGAGAAAGGACCUUAAAGGUGGUGUAGUCAGGAUCUGAGGAAGUUCCAGUUUUUAGGAGAAAUCUUGAAUGUAAACUCUACCCAUCCCAACCAGUUUUCCUCUCAGCUCCUCCUCUCCCCUCCCUCUCUGCUCCAGCAGGCCCCGCCCUGAGACAGACGCUCCUGCUUGCUCGUAUCAUUCCAAUUAAAAUUGGAUAUAAUGCAUAUAAAUACUUAAGAUAAUUACAAAUUGGGCCCAGUCAGCGUUAAAGUAAAAAGCAUUGGUGCUGCUGUAGAUGCCAACAGACUACCAGCAAACACAAUGGCCCUCAUUUAUUAAGCUUGCGUACAGCAGAAAACUUGUGUACGAAAGUUUUGACAUGAGGAUCGGCAUUUAUCAAUCUGCACGUGAGUGUACGCUACGACCAAAUCUCACGACAGGUCUGACAUUGUGUACACAAGUUUGAGUCAGUGUGGAUCUAUGGUUCAGCAAAUGUCUGUCUCAAAAUAAUUGAUAAACAACCCUCAAACCACGAAGCACAAUCAGCCAGAUUUCAUUAAAUAUUAAGAUGUAAAUAAAAUAAAAUGUCCUUGGUGAAUAGGUCUAUCUGAUAACUCUGCCCAGAAACACUGCCACAGAGCAGGAGCGCCCUUUCAACAUUACGCACACAUGCACCACUGUGGAGCGCUGUGUUUGACUCCUAAAAGGCAGGUGUCUCUGUCUUGGCCCAGCAGCGGGGACGUUGUUGUACACUCCUGAAAGGGUGUGGGAGUGCCGUUGGCUGUGCCAGUGAACGUGAGGACCCAAUGCCCGGAGAACAAUAACCAGGAGAGACUCCACAAAGGUGCUGUACAGAGGAGACAGGACCUUAUCCAUGGAUUCUGACAUGUAAAGUAUAAGUUUAGAAAGUGCUCUUGCUAUUUAUUCAGUGAUAAAAAAAAAUCCAAUACAAAUCCAUAAAAAUGUGCCUCAGGGGCAGCAACACACCGUUUGGUGAGGUUAAUAAUUCUUUUUGUUCAGCCUCUGUCAGACUCUCCAGUCUGCUCUACAAGACACAACAAAUUAAAACUAAAUACUUUCAAUAAUAGGUGCAACGUACCCUAUGUCAUACCAAUAAAAAAAAUAUGAGGCAUGUAUGAGAUAUUAAUUUAUCAUCAUGAGCAACUUAUUGACCAAUGAUUUAUUCAAACUUCAGCCACUGUCCACUAUUCCGCAGCAGCGCUGUUCAGCGUGUAGCGAUUUGAAAUGAGCCUCACACGGCCGCACCAAAAUAAUACGGUUUGAAAUGAGCCUCACACGGUCGCACCAAAAUAAUACUGUAGCGAUUGGAAUUUAUAAUAAAUGUCUGAAGAUUAAUAAUCUCAAAUUAUGAUAUUUAUGCACUCGUUGAAAGGGGCACCACCCACCCUUAAUGGUGGGAAAAUAAAGAAAACAAAAGUUUAAUUCAGAAAUCAAACAUCAAGUCAGUCUUAAUUAAUCAGUCCCAUAUCUUAAGCCGAAAUUCUCAUUUCAGGGACUCCACUUCUGGAAGAACACUAACAGACAGGAACUUAGAAAAAUAAUGAUCUGUUUAUUACAGGAUAAAUGAUGGUACAGCAUACAUGCAAUAAAUGAUGAUAAGAUAAUGAAGAUAAAUAAUAAUAGGUGAAUAAAUAAAGAUGCUGAGUCAGGCUAGGAGCACUAAAGUUAAUUAUAGUGAGUGAAUAUGCGCUAACUUAUUAAUCUACACUAAUUUUGGUGUCGAGAUAAACUCGGGUGUGGAUUUGGAGGAAUCUAAGAUCACCAGAAAUAGGUGGAUAUCUGAGUUAUGAACGCAUGAGACAGCACCAGCCCUCUUUGGAGCUCUGGAGGUUUGCAUACUUAAGUGAGUCUGGUCCUUAGAGAAGGUGGAGCAGGUUCCGAAGGUCCGGGCUACCAGCGAUUCGAGCGGUUCAGCUCAGAAGACGACUGAAGUCAGCCGAAGGAUGGGCCUGGAGUUGUAGCACUCGGGCCCGAAGCAAAGCCAGCGCCUGUGGAUCCUGUGGAUGCUCGUUUGGGUACUUCUUUGGUCUCACUCAAAAACUCUGGCACAGAGGAUGACCUGGGCCUGCUGGGUUGCGUUCAGAGGUGACUUUGAAAUCAUGCAGAUAACUCAGAAAAACGAGACUCGAGCAGAGAAAACUUUCAAAAAUGGCUUCGCGAAAUUAAAGAAAAAUCAAUCAAAGGCUUAAUCUUGAAUUGCUAUGCGCACAAAAAGUUGAAGUUUCAAAACUUGAACUAAGACGAUGUUAAAGAAAAAUCAACGUGAAUCAACACGUGGCGUAAAACUUAGUAGACUAAGAAAAAGUUCUAAGAGAGAACAAAGAAAGAGAGGCCCACAGAAGGGUGUGGACAGAAGAGAAGGGCCCAAGAGUAAGGGGCAUAAGAAAGUGCACAAGAGGCGAUAAGAGAGUGAGCAACCCCACUUCACUGGUUUUAUCUUCUCACACUGGGAGUGUCUCUGGCGUGUGUGUGUGAGGAGAAAGAGGAGGAGGGUCGUGUGGUCUCCAAGCAGAGGAGACAUCGGAUCUCUGAUUAUCUGAUCUAACUUAUACUUUUGGCUGGUAAAAGAGUCAGAUCUGAUACUCACUCACUAUGAUUAAUAUCAUUGAAUGCUAGGUUUCAUGAUAAAUAAUUUGAUACUAAACACAUAUGAAUGAAGUGUAGGAUCACAUCAAACAUUCUCAAUAUGUUUUAAGUAUCACAUUGAACAUGCUAAAUUACUCUGAAAUGAAACAGAUAGUAACACAUGGAAACUGUGAACAACAAAAUAGUAAACAUAUGUGAAACUUCAUCAUGAUCAAUAAUGGAUUCUAAAUACUCACAUUCAGAUUAUUCAAUGACAUUAUAAACACCUAAUGGUUAAAAAUACUAAAUAAAUAACUAAAAUAUAAACCAAACAUUUCUAAACCAUUUCUUUUACUUAGAGUAAAGUUAUGAUUCAUAGUCAAUAAAGUUAACUCUAAAAAGUUCAUGAAACAAUCUGGAAAGCUGUUGGUCUAAAGAAACUAAAGAAUAAAGGAUUUAUUCUGUCAGAGUGAUAACUCUGCUUCUGGAGCACAUAGAAAAACGGGAAACAUCUCAUUUUAACACAAAUUUCAUGAUUAGACAGAUUAGUACAUUGCUGAAUGCACAAGAUGUCAGGAUCAGUCAUUUGUAUUCUUUCACCAAAGGAAUGCAGUCUUUAUCAGUGUAUGGUCGAGCAGGGUUUUACGACCGAGGUCUGGAGGUCAGUGUCCCCCCUUAUCCUGGGGUCCGUAUGUUCACACACUUUAAGAAGGUAAAUCUCAAAUGGGAGAUCUGGGUUGAGACGUUAAUGUUUAUUUAGAUGGUCAGCAAAUGGAGUCAGUUUGAAAGGUAAUAAAAACUCUGUCUCUGUUCUCCGAAUUGACCAAUCGUGAAGAGUCAGAGGUUUAGUCAACCUCCGGUUGGAUCACUUAGGUAACCUGAAAGUGCAAACAAGUCUGGAAAGAUUUAUAUCCUGUGUCCUGGGACCAGAUAAGGAAACUUUCCUGUGAGGAAUGUAUGAGUUUCACACCCAGGGUUGUCUUGAUUGCUACAAGCGCCACCAUAAUCCUGCUCCAGACAGGAGUUUUCUGGACUGCUUUUAUACCAGUUUUGAUGCUUCCAAAGAGAAAAUCCUUGUUAGUUUCCACCACAGAUGUGAGGAUAUCAACUUUGAGCUUGAAAAAGUUUCGAAUCUUUCUAAUAUUUCUCCUCUUUUAUGUUUGACCUCAGUAGGCGAGGCUUCUGAACCACAAAUAUUUAAGGGCGUAAACAUGUUAAUGACGAUCGAUUUCAGCCGCCGCAUUUAUCAAGACCCGAUCAUACAUAUGCAGAGAUUGGUCAGAUACGAACCCUUUCAUAAAUCUCACGUGUGUCUUAUCAUACGAUGAAUCCUGCACUCAGAUCUGCGCUCAGAUCUGCGCAAGAUUGAUAAAUGAGGGCCACUGUUUGCAGGACUUCUACAACUAGGAUAAAGUGACAUAGUCCAGGACCCGAGGUCAACAGUUCAGCGGUGCUACAACACGCUACAGCAGAUCCCGUUUGACAAGAAACACUUCUGUUACAGACACUUGGCUUACUUUGUUAAAGCAGUUUACCUGCCCAUCAAAAAGGUUACAGGGUCACGAAGAUACUGAAGCAUCCCCAAUUGUUUAUGUUGACACGGCUUUUUAGCUCUUGUCUUGUCUACCUCCGUUUUAAGCGCCCGUUAUUCCACCAGGGUCUCUGGUAUCACUUUGUUUUCUUGCUUGUGUUGGCAGCUGUGGCCAAAGGAGGAUUCAGACAAUUUUCUGAACUUUUUGGUUAGUUUCUACUGUCCGAUAUUGUAGCACGCUAACUUUGUUUGGGCUCGUGAAAGACACGGGGGAGCAGCGUCUGCCUCACAACCAAUCAGGUCAGGGUAGGUGGAGAAUGAAUUUGUUUACAGUGAGAAAGAGCGUACAGCUCUAAAAUGUUAAAAUGUUGACUACACAGACAUAAGAGAUAUUGUGAUAUUCACAAAUGUCAUCAAUAACUAAUAACUAUUGACUGAUAUUAAAGGAUUUUUUGUAAAUACACCACAAAAAAAGAUGUUUCUUUAAAAGAUUCCUGUCUACACCACCUUUAAAUGAUGACAUCAUUCAUCACCUUUAAUUCAUUAUUUUAAAUUAUUAUUACAACAAUGAAGUGACUGAAAGGAAAGAAUUUAAAUUAUAUAAAAAUGAACAUGUUUCCUGAGCUUGUGUGUGUUUACGGGCAAUAAGACUGAGGAGAACUGAAGGCUUUUAUUUUGAAAUUUGACUGAUUUUAAAGUUCCUGUGAAGAGAGAGCAGGAAGAGAUAUUUAAUCAAGGCCCAGGCUGUGUCUCAUUUCAGAGACCGCAUCGGGAUAAGCGCGUGUAAGCGCACUGCCAUUUUGUGCCGUUAUGCGACGUUGUGUACCCUUCCUGUGUCCCAUUUCAGGUACCGCAACCGUCGAAUGGCGCAUUUGAAGCGUGGUCACCACGCGGCACGAACGGUGUCCCGUUUGGCACAAAAUGCUAAGCGCGCUUCAAAUUCGGUCUCAAAACCACACUGCCCCCGCCUCUUUUUCAAGAGGCAGGGGGCCGUUGGUAUCCCAGAAUUCUUUGUGUGCCGCUGCACAGCUGCGCAUUUCAGGUGAGAGGCUGGACUCAUUUGGAGACAGCGCGUCUUUAAAGAAAAUGCAAGAAAUCCAAAAACAGCAGACAGACAGACAGCUCAGGCUGUAUGAGCGCAUGAUCUCUGAACUCACUAAAAUCUGCAAACCAAACAUUAUAGAUUUAGAGACAACUGAUCCGCUCUGCUGCAACUAUCAAAAACAUUAGAAAUAAGAAAGCUGACAAAACUACAACAAAGGAUCAGGACAUCAUUGAGUUUUUUUUCUUUUAAGAUUUAGAGAUUAAAGUUGUAAAUUUAGGAGAAUAAAGUCAUAAAGUAUAUAAAGUCAUAAAGCUGCUUUUGUGGAGGGGGAAAUGACUGAAGCUGGUCAUCUGCAGGGUUAUCGGUGGAUGUAUCAGCGUGUCAUUCAGAGAGAUUUUGUGGUUUCUGAAGAAACAAUCAAACUGAUGAUGAUCAACAUUUGUGAUCAAGAGGGAGUCGAGCUCCGAUGAGCACCACGUCUCUGACACCGGCGGUAACCUACACCUGCAGAGACACCAACACGUUAUUAUGGUAUAUGGAUUCAUAUCAUAAACUAAAGCUCAAUGUCAUUCACGGAAAUUUACGGCUGCAUAAAAGGAUAUAUCCUUAGCAUAUUCAUUUCUGCCUCCACAAAAGCAGCGAUUUCCUCCAAGUCCAUCUGUUUUUUUUCCCCGUGGAAAAGACGUAUUUCUCAUAUAUUCUUUAUACUUAUGACAAUGUGAUGCUGAUGUGCCAGAGGAUGAAGCAUCUCCUUGUUUGUGAAACCUAUACUGAAGCACAGUUCCUUCAAAUGCUUCAUGGCCCUAAUUUAAACUCCUAAAAUCUCCUCUGAAAUAACAGGGAACCUUAUAACUUUAUUCUCAUAAAUUAAUUACUUUAUUCUCGUAAAUUCACGACUUAAAUCUCGAAUUUUACAUUUAAACCUUCAAUUUUUUAAGCAACUUUUGCAUUGCUUUUUCAGCUUUCAGCACACAGCAUUUCCACGCAUUUUCUGCAAGGAAAUGCAAUUUUUCUACUUGAAGAUUAUCACUCUUCACACAUUUAUUAUAAAUUUAAAUCGCUACACAAAAUAUAAAUUUAGUCACUUAAAAUAUUGAACUAAAACCAAAAAGUUAAAGAAGACUCAGCUUCUGAUCAGGAACAACAAAAGGACGACAAUAAAUGACAGACAGACAGACAGGGGAACAGUAAAAGACAGACAAACAGGGAGAACAGUAACAGAACAGAAACAGACAGACAGGGGGAACAGUAUUAGAACAGUAACAGACAGACAGAGGGAACAGUAACAGAACAGUAACAGACAGACGGGGAACAGUAACAGAACAGUAACAGACAGACAGAGGGAACAGUAACAGAACAGUAACAGACAGACAGGGGGAACAGUAACAAAACAGUAACAGACAGACAGGGGAAACAGUAAUAGACAGACAGAGGGAACAGUAAUAGAACAGUAACAGACAGACAGGGGGAACAGUAACAAAACAGUAACAGACAAACAUGGGGAACAGUAACAAAACAGUAAAAGACAGACAGGGGGAACAGUAACAGAACAGUAACGGACAGACAGGGGGAACAGUAACAGAACAGUAACAGACAAAAUGACAGACAGAAAGACAAAGGGAACUGUCAGAGACAGACAGAGGGAAGAGAAACUGACAGACAGACAGAGAGAGGGAACAGUUAUUGGCAGACAGACAGACAGACAGACAGACAGAGGGAACAGUAAAAGACAGACAGGCAGAGGGAAUAGUAACAGACAGACAGUAAGAAAGACAGACAGAGGGAACAGUAACAGACAGACAGUAAGACAGAAAGACAGACAGACAGACAGACAGAGAGAACAGUAACAGAAAGACAGAUAGCCAAAGGGAACAGUAACAAACAGACAGACGGAGUGAAAAGUAACAGGCAGAUAGACAGAAAAAAGACAGAAUGACAGAGAGAACAGAGACAGACAGACAGAGAGAACACAGACAGACAGAGAAAACAGUAACAGACAGACAGACAGAUAGACAGAGGGAACAAUAAUAGACAGACAGAGGGAACAUUAACAGACAGACAAAUGGAUAGACAGAGGGAACAGUAACAGACAGACAGACAGAUAGACAGAGGGAACAGUCACAGACUGACAGACAGACAAAGGGAACAGUAACAGACAGACAGUAAGACAGACGGACAAAUUAAACAGUAACAGACAGACAGACCAACAGACAGAACAUAAGGCAGAAGGAACAGUAACAGAAAGACAGACAAAUAGACAGACAGACAGACAGACAGACAGAGGGAACAGUAACAGACAAACAGAAUGACACACAGACAGACAGACAGACAGACAGACAGACAGAGGGAACAGUAACAGACAGACGGACAGACAGACAGACAGAGAAAGAGAGGGGAACAGUAUUAGACAGACAGACAGACAAAAAAAAAGGAAAACAGUAACAGACAGACGGACAAAAAAAGGAAAAAAAUGUAACAGAGAGACAGUCAGAUUGACAGAGGGAACAGCAACAGAAAGACAGACAGACAGAACGAACGAGGGAAAAGUAACAGACAGAACGAAAGACAGACAAGACAGAGGGAACAGAAGGAACAGUAACAGAAAGACAGAAAAAGUGAGGGAAAACGAACAGACAGAAUGAAAGACAGACAGACAGAAUGACAGACAAAGAGAGGAAACAGUGACAGAGAGACAAAGAGAGGGAACAGUAACAGACAGAAAGACAGCAAAGGGGAAACAGUUAAAGACAGAUAGACAAACAGACUGAGAGAGGAAACAGUAACAGAAAGACAGACAGAGAGAGGGAGCAGUAACAGACAGAAAGACAGACUAACAGAAAGAGGGGACAGUUAAAGACAGACAGACAGACAAAGGUAAAGUUAGAGACAGAUGGGGGAACAGUAACAGACAGACAGACAUAGGGAACAGUAACAGACAGAUAGACAGAGAGAAGUGUAACAGACAGACAGACAGACAGACAGAGGGAAUAGUAACAGACAAACAGAAUGACACACAGACAGAAAGAGGGAACAGUUACAGACAGAACGAGAUUGACAGAGGGAACAUUAACAGACAGAACAAAAGAACAACAGACAGACAGACAUGAAGACAGAGAGAAGGAACAGUAACAGACAGACAGACAGAGGGUACAGUAACAAACAGACAGAAAGCGGGAACAGUAACAGACAGACUGCGUAAACAGUAAAAGACCGACAGGCGGAACAGUAACUGACAGACAGAGAGAAAUAGGGAACAGUUACAGACAGACAGACAGACAGACAGACAGACAGACAGACAGAGGAAACAGUAACAAACAGACAGACAGACAGACGAAACAGUAACUGACAGACAGAGGGAACAGUAACAGACAGACAGAAGGAGCAGUAACAGACAGACAGACAGAUAAAAUAUUAACAGACAGACAGUAAGGAUGACAGACAGACAGACAGAGGGAACAGUAACAGACAGACAGACAGACAGACAGACAUAAAGAACAGUCACAGACAGAAAGACAUACAUACAGACAGCCAGACAGUAAGAAAGACAGACAGACAGGCAGAGCAAACAGUAACAGACAGACAGCGAGCCAGUUGGAACUGUAACAGACAGAGAGACAGAGAAAGGGAACACUUACAGACAGACAG
RNAcentral lists this long non-coding RNA (8824 nucleotides) under Xyrichtys novacula (pearly razorfish). Lineage: Eukaryota; Metazoa; Chordata; Actinopteri; Labriformes; Labridae. The record is from RNAcentral.